Neodiprion fabricii is the source of this 788-nucleotide long non-coding RNA. RefSeq lists it as uncharacterized. The transcript has 2 exons. Lineage: Eukaryota; Metazoa; Arthropoda; Insecta; Hymenoptera; Diprionidae. The record is from RefSeq and is a predicted model, not a curated record.
UGGGACUGUAGAAUUGUGUGAAGAAUGGAGCGUGGCGUACGGCACCUGUGAAGAAAAAUCAAUAAAAAAACGUUGAAAGAGAAUCCAGACAUCGUUUUGGGAUAGAGAGCAAACACAGGCAUAGCUGCAGAAUUAUAAUAAGGAAGUGAUGCGAACUUUUCUAUUUGGGAAGAAGAACAGAAACGGUAUUGCGAGCUCGAAAACGUUUGCUCCUACAGUGGUUAAGCGAAGAAACCAUGCUGGUAGAUGAUGAGCAUACCAAGCCAAGAGAGUAGGAAUGCAUUGUGACUCAAAAUGCACGUUCAAGGCUGGAAAACAACAAAAUAAAUCACGGUUAAUUUGUUUGGCGAACGCUUGUGGCACGAGAACACUUUUGAGGGUCUUAUCCUUUUGCUACGAUAUUAAAUAAUGAGAAAUAAAGUAUGAGCAGCAGCUGAAGCUGCAAGUCUAAUUUAUUGUGCUCAAUAUCACGUAUACGAUAGUUCAAGUGAAAAAAUCACAUACCCUCCAAACCCCACCACGUCGGACAGCCAGAAGUUAGCUUUACAACACCGCUGGAAAACAUCAAUCGAAAGAGUAGCCAACGAACGGCCCAAAAUGUCAAUGCCGUAGAUGGAGUGCUGGAUUUUCCUCGGCGGGGGUACCAGAAGGGUGCAACAAUAGUGCACAAGAAUCCAGCUUCGAGAAGAAGAACAUCCCUGUAAAUAAAAGUUAUUUCAGAGAAAAAAAAAAUUCAACAUUAUCAGAUGACAAAUCUUAAAAAUUGAAUAAAUAUGAUUGUUCUGUCA